Molecule: long non-coding RNA, 209 nt
Filed under: Carica papaya (papaya)
Lineage: Eukaryota; Viridiplantae; Streptophyta; Magnoliopsida; Brassicales; Caricaceae
Description: long non-coding RNA (CPAP_LNC002570)
Source: RNAcentral
AUCAUGAAUUCUACUUCAUAGUACUGCAAUAUUUUAUAAUUAUCUAUAGUUUCUGACUGUUGAACAUUUAUGUGCAUUGAUUGUAUGACAAAAGAUAUUUUUUGGACAUAUAUGGUAAUCAGAUGAUAUGCACAUAAAUUUCAAAUAAAAUUCACUUAAUUAGGUCAUGCAUGCAUAUGAAACUAUGAACAUUUCAAAGACAAGGCUUU